ACUAUUAGUCUAUUAUACACCUAACCAGCCAACCUAACUAUAUAUUAUAUAUUCUCAUAUCAUAUAAAUCAUGCACUAGUAUAGUAUGCUACAAAUUAAGGAAAUAUCUUAGACUAGCUUCUUUGAUCUACUUAUGUAUACACCUCAUAUUUUCUAUCUCCAUAUUUAUAUUAUAGAAAAAACUUGCACUUUUUAAAGAAUUUUUCCUUCUCUUUUGUUUCCAUUUGAAUAAAAAAUUUCAUUGAUUAUAUAUAUUCCUCUUCUAUUCUUUAGGAAUUAUUUAAUUUAAUUCUUCUUUGAAGAUAUUGUCUUGUCCAUUUCUGAAGGUUGGAGUUAUAGAAAUAUGUAUCAUAACUACCAUCGUCAUCACUAUCACUCCCAACCUUGUUUGCAUUGCCACCCUCAAAGCUACAUUAGGAUGGUUCAACACCUUAUAGAAAGGUGCUUGCUUCUUCAAAUGGACCGACCGACCGAGACCAAUGUAUUAAGGCUUUGGCUGAACAUGCAAAAAUCAAGCCUCUAAUUACACUUACAGAGCCAUAUAAAUAAUACUCGUAUUGUUGUUGGCUCCAAUUUUGCAAUUUGGAGGGAGCUUUUGAAAGAAAACAGGAAUUUUUUUCAAGCAUAUUUUCAUGGUGUUUCUCCUACUCCGCUCAUAAAUAGACAUGUUUAACAAUCACCAAGAUUCACAAGAAGGCGAUAUUGGAGGUGAUCACAGAUAUUACAUAUAUAGUUUAGUAGCUAGCAAGAUAUAUAGUUUGAUCGACCAACAACAUUGAUAAAGCUCUGCGAUUUGUCGAUUUUAGCUUGUUUAUGAAUUCAUUGUACCUAUAAAAGAUCAAUGAUAUGAUGCUAUAUAUACCAGAAAUAUGUAUAACAAAAUUCGAUUGCCUUAGCUUACGUCUUAGCCAUAUAUGGAUUGGAAAUAAUUCACAUAAAUAUAGGAAUUGAGACAUGCAUGAUUUAUCUCUCAAUCUUUUACA
Molecule: long non-coding RNA, 983 nt
Organism: Chenopodium quinoa (quinoa)
Lineage: Eukaryota; Viridiplantae; Streptophyta; Magnoliopsida; Caryophyllales; Amaranthaceae
Exons: 4
Source: RefSeq, a predicted model, not a curated record